GUCCUUUUGAAAAAAAUUUAAGGUCUAACCUGCCCACUGAUAGAUUUAAGGGCCGCGGUAUUUUGACCGUGCUAAGGUAGCAUAAUCAUUAGUUUUUUAAUUGAAAGCUGGAAUGAAGGGUUGAAUGAAAAAAUAACUGUCUUUAAUUAAUUUAAUUAGAAUUUUAUUUUUAAGUUAAAAAGCUUAAAUAAAUUUAAAAGACGAGAAGACCCUAUAGAGUUUAAUAUAAUAAUAUUUUUAAAUUUUAGUAUUUAUUUUUUUAAUUAAUUAUUAUAUUGGAUUGGGGUGAUUAAAAAAUUUAAUUAACUUUUUUUUUAUUGGUAUAUUGAUUAAUAAAUAAAUGAUCCAAUAUUUUUGAUUAUAAGAUUAAAUUACCUUAGGGAUAACAGCGUAAUUUUAUUGGAGAGUUCAAAUCGAUAAUAAAGAUUGCGA
This 432-nucleotide ribosomal RNA is filed under the name Chaetocnema tibialis. RNAcentral describes it as "partial 16S large subunit ribosomal RNA". Lineage: Eukaryota; Metazoa; Arthropoda; Insecta; Coleoptera; Chrysomelidae. The record is from RNAcentral.